GAUGAACGCUGGCGGCGUGCCUAAUACAUGCAAGUCGAGCGAACAGACGAGGAGCUUGCUCCUCUGACGUUAGCGGCGGACGGGUGAGUAACACGUGGAUAACCUACCUAUAAGACUGGGAUAACUUCGGGAAACCGGAGCUAAUACCGGAUAAUAUAUUGAACCGCAUGGUUCAAUAGUGAAAGACGGUUUUGCUGUCACUUAUAGAUGGAUCCGCGCCGCAUUAGCUAGUUGGUAAGGUAACGGCUUACCAAGGCAACGAUGCGUAGCCGACCUGAGAGGGUGAUCGGCCACACUGGAACUGAGACACGGUCCAGACUCCUACGGGAGGCAGCAGUAGGGAAUCUUCCGCAAUGGGCGAAAGCCUGACGGAGCAACGCCGCGUGAGUGAUGAAGGUCUUCGGAUCGUAAAGCUCUGUUAUUAGGGAAGAACAAAUGUGUAAGUAACUAUGCCCGUCUUGACGGUACCUAAUCAGAAAGCCACGGCUAACUACGUG
Molecule: ribosomal RNA, 497 nt
Filed under: uncultured bacterium
Lineage: Bacteria
Description: partial 16S ribosomal RNA
Rfam family: Bacterial small subunit ribosomal RNA
Source: RNAcentral